UACGGGGGGGGCAAGCGUUGUUCGGAAUUACUGGGCGUAAAGGGCUCGUAGGCGGCCAACUAAGUCGGAUGUGAAAUCCCCAAGCUUAACUUGGGAACUGCAUCCGAUACUGGAUGGCUUGAAUCCGGGAGAGGGAUGCAGAAUUCCAGGUGUAGCGGUGAAAUGCGUAGAUAUCUGGAGGAACACCGGUGGCGAAGGCGGCAUCCUGGACCAAUUCUGACACUGAGGAGCGAAAGCCAGGGGAGCAAACGGG
Molecule: ribosomal RNA, 253 nt
Filed under: uncultured bacterium
Lineage: Bacteria
Description: partial 16S ribosomal RNA
Rfam family: Bacterial small subunit ribosomal RNA
Source: RNAcentral